UAGCAGAUUCCUUCAUAUUCUCUC
This 24-nucleotide non-coding RNA is filed under the name Mus musculus (house mouse). The record is from RNAcentral. Lineage: Eukaryota; Metazoa; Chordata; Mammalia; Rodentia; Muridae.